CCCAAAUGUUAAAAUAUAAAUGUGGGUAUCCAUUUUAUUAUCCAAAUAUAAACCGGUAACCAUAAUAAUAAUGUCAUUUAGUUAUUGGAUACCUAAAUUCUAUUAUGUCUUAAUUUAUAUGUUUAUUUUUUUUUGUUUUUUUAUCAUAUAGACAUAUACACAUUAUAAACAAAUUUUAUAUUUUAUUAAUUUUUUUAAAC
This 200-nucleotide long non-coding RNA is filed under the name Lathyrus oleraceus (garden pea). RNAcentral's name for it is "Pisum sativum (pea) long non-coding RNA (PSAT_LNC016986)". Lineage: Eukaryota; Viridiplantae; Streptophyta; Magnoliopsida; Fabales; Fabaceae. The record is from RNAcentral.